Anopheles merus is the source of this 729-nucleotide RNA transcript. RefSeq lists it as uncharacterized. Lineage: Eukaryota; Metazoa; Arthropoda; Insecta; Diptera; Culicidae. The transcript is spliced from 3 exons. The record is from RefSeq and is a predicted model, not a curated record.
UCAACGUUACAGUUUCAUUUGAAGUUCGACCAACGGCCAUUAGAAGGUGAUGGACAUGUUUGUACCGGUACAUUGGAAUCUUCGGACCAUUUGCUCCUCCGCCCAGCCAACUGCACUUGCAAAGGAAGGGGGCGCUAAACAGCUUCAACACUGCUUCGUGCAUUCGAUUGUCUGGAGUAUUCGAACUUCUAUGUUUUCUAUUUCAGCCGGUCUAGGUGUUUCAUCAACUUCAUCUAUUGUAAAACAAUUUGAAUUACUCGCGGGGCAAUUUGGACAGAUUUAACAAUGUGUCCAGCUGUGUGCAGCAUGUACUACAAAUUACCCUUUCUUCCGCACAUCCACUAGGAGCACCGGUUCUGUGGUGCAACUCUAUUGAGGAUGUUGCUGACGGUAGCUGGAGCGGUGCUUCAACCGGAUGAGAAUCCUGUAUGGCCUCAAUACACGGAUCAAUCGAGGAUAUUUCGACAGUGGCCAAUGGAGAUGGUUGACGUUCAGCAACGCUGGGUGCAAUCGCCGUGCGGUUGCUUUCCACAGCAGCUUUUAUAGAAACGCCAUCGAAAAAGGCUAGCGGAGGAGCCUCACGGACGUCAACGCUAGAAACUGUCUCCGUGGGAUGUUUUUCCACAGCUCUCUGCCGAUUUUCAGCUACGUCAAUUGUCAACGGAGAUGGUUCACGGACGUUAAUGUUGGACACCGGUACCGUGCAAUGAUUAACAGAUUGUGUUGUUC